Long non-coding RNA from Silurus meridionalis, 277 nucleotides. RefSeq lists it as uncharacterized. The transcript has 3 exons. Lineage: Eukaryota; Metazoa; Chordata; Actinopteri; Siluriformes; Siluridae. The record is from RefSeq and is a predicted model, not a curated record.
CUGGAAAACCUGAUAAUUUCCAGCUAAAAGAAAAUUGCGUGUUUUUGUAUCAAAAACAAAUUGAUGAUGCACUGUGCUCUGACUUAAGGCCUUUCUUCUGCUACGAUGUCAUCAAAAAACAACAAACGGUAAAGGUGAAGAUCCAGUCUAAUGAGGACGUGAAUGAAUUCAAGACAGAAAUCUUGGAGCAGAUCAAGCUAAACCUGGUGGAAGAUGGGAUGGCAGGAAACAUCACGGUGAAAUGGAGGGUGCAAACAGAUGGAGCGGUGUUUCACAA